UCUCUCUCGCAUGCGAACGGCGAUUAAAGAUGCGAUUCAUCCCGAAUCGGAAAAAUCAAUGGAUUCACGUCGAAUCCUUUGAUUUUACUGGCUUAAAAUGGAGGAUUGUUGGUCACCCGGAGGCGAUGGCUUUCAGAUCGGCGUAACCGUAAGAGUUGACGGUUCGGUUCUCACGGAAAACGACGGCGGAGGAUUCUUCUGGUGGCCUACAGGGAACGACGAGGUCCACUGGCUAACGAGUCGGAGAUUGAAGGUUCGUCUUCUCCUUUCCGAUUUAUUGCAUGUAUUUGGAAUUAGUCUUCUCCUUUCUGAUUUAGGGUUUCAGAUUAAUUGAUUGAUUGUUAGAUUGGUAAAUGUUUUCUUUCGAUUUGACUUAUUAGGCGUAGAUUAUGAGAUUAGUUUGAUGUUCAAUUGAUUUUGAGAUUUGUUUGGUGGGUUAUCGGGUUCAGGUUUUAAUUGUCUGAUAGUUUGAUAUUUGGUAAAUGUUUUGAGAUUUGUCUGAUAGUUUGAUGUUCAAUUGUCUGAUAGUUUUUUUAAGAAUUAGUAGAUUUUUAUGUUAUUGUUAUCUUAUGUUUGUCUGUUUUGUUAUAGAUUGUAGAGUGAACCCAUGUGUUGUUCUUAUUAGGAAUAGAAUGUUUUAGUUUUAUGUUUUGUAUAAGUAAUUAUGUGAUUAAUAUUGACUCUUUUGCAAUGUUUUUUGCGAGGUUAUCAUCAACUGUAUAUAGCGGUUAAAUGGUGAAGAUUGGUUUAGGUGAAGUGGAGACAACGGUUGGAUUCUCUUACUUGAAAAGGUUUUGGGUGCAAAUGAUGUAGAUGUCUCGUUGGCACAUGAAGGGAAACAUGUUGGAAGUCAACCGAAUGGUUUUUUUAACCCGUGAAUGGGUGUUGUUUUUAUUACCAUUCACGGGUCUAUCUUUCGUCUCGGCUAUUGGUUUUUGCUAGGAGUAUCACAACUUGUCCAACCCUUGAUUGGGUUUUGAGUUGUUGUCUUUAUGUAUUGUAACCCGUGAAUGGGUUUUGUUUGUUUGUAAAAUUUAUAUAAGGUCUAUAUAUUGAGCAAUGUUAUGUACAACUUCA
Molecule: long non-coding RNA, 1077 nt
Organism: Camelina sativa (false flax)
Lineage: Eukaryota; Viridiplantae; Streptophyta; Magnoliopsida; Brassicales; Brassicaceae
Source: RefSeq, a predicted model, not a curated record